RNAcentral lists this ribosomal RNA (253 nucleotides) under uncultured bacterium. Its description in RNAcentral is "partial 16S ribosomal RNA". It matches the Rfam family "Bacterial small subunit ribosomal RNA", at positions 524 to 776 of the family's 1533-position model. The record is from RNAcentral.
UACAGAGGUCUCAAGCGUUGUUCGGAUUCAUUGGGCGUAAAGGGUGCGUAGGCGGCGCGGUAAGUCGGGUGUGAAAUUUCGAGGCUUAACUUCGAAACUGCAUUCGAUACUGCCGUGCUUGAGGACUGGAGAGGAGACUGGAAUUUACGGUGUAGCGGUGAAAUGCAUAGAUAUCGUAAGGAAGACCAGUGGCGAAGGCGGGUCUCUGGACAGUUCCUGACGCUGAGGCACGAAGGCCAGGGGAGCAAACGGG